AAUGAGAUAAGCCAACAACGACCUUGGUCCUAGCUCUUCGAGUUUAUCUUUUACCUAUGUGUUAGAGAAAAACACGUUAAGCUUGUGACAACUUAGUAAGUAUUUCAAGAAUUUAAACUUUUAAGAUUUAGAAUUGUCGAAAAUUAUCAUAUAUAUAAUAUUAUUGUGUGUAUAGGAACCAAACAUGAGUGAUCAAUUACUAAAACUUACAUUACUUACCACAUUGCUUUAAUAAUUUCUCUUAUCAUAUUUUUCCUUAAUAGCCCAUUGUAGACUAAAUAGAACAUUUCAGAUAUACAUAACAUAUAUAGAUGUGCACCAAAGUGCAUUAUCAUAACAGAACAACACCAAUGGGC
This 356-nucleotide long non-coding RNA is filed under the name Gossypium barbadense (sea-island cotton). RNAcentral describes it as "long non-coding RNA (GBAR_LNC006874)". Lineage: Eukaryota; Viridiplantae; Streptophyta; Magnoliopsida; Malvales; Malvaceae. The record is from RNAcentral.